Molecule: non-coding RNA, 15465 nt
Organism: Podarcis lilfordi (Lilford's wall lizard)
Lineage: Eukaryota; Metazoa; Chordata; Lepidosauria; Squamata; Lacertidae
Source: the annotation of a GenBank genome assembly
GUUUAAAGCCCUCCUGAUGAGGUUUCUGAGAUUUUUGGCAAAAACAUUCCUCCCAACCGUUGUGAGGUGCAGCCCAUCGCUUGCCAGAAGUCCAUCUUCAAGAAACUGCAGUCUGUGAUCUAAGAAUCCAAAACGUUCCUGUUUACACCAUUUAUAUAAAAAAAUAUAUGUCACCUGAGCAUGCCAACCAUUAAUGGUGGCCCUGUUCCAUCAAUGGUGUCUCUGAAAAAUUUACACAUCACUUGGGAAGACAUGCGAACUAAUGCCAGUGUGCUGGAAUAAUAAUAAUAAUAAUAAUAAUAAUAAUAAUAAUAAUAAAUUUUAUUUAUAUCCCGCCCUCCCCAGCCGAAGCCGGGCUCAGGGCGGCUAACAACAAUAAAACAGUACAAAAGUACAGCACAAACAACACUCUAAAAUCAUUCAUUAUAAAAUUAAUUAAUUCAAGCCACUGGCAACCAUUGGGCCAGAGCUCCGCGAAGAUUGCCGAGGGAGGGAGUCAGGCUGUGCCCUGGCCAAAGGCCUGGUGGAACAGCUCUGUCUUGCAGGCCCUGCGGAAAGAUGUCAAGUCCCGCAGGGCCCUGGUCUCUUGUGACAGAGUGUUCCACCAGAUCGGAGCCACGGCCGAAAAAGCCCUGGCUCUAGUUGAGGCCAGCCUAACUUCUCUGUGGCCUGGGACCUUCAAGAUGUUUUUAUUUGAAGACCGUAAGUUUCUCUGUGGGGCAUACCAGGAGAGGCGGUCCCGUAGGAACGAGGGUCCUAGGCCGUAUAGGGCUUUAAAGGUUAAAACCAGCACCUUAAACCUGAUCCUUUACUCCACCGGGAGCCAGUGCAGCUGGUAUAGCACUGGGUGAAUGUGAUCUCGCAGUGAAGACCCCUAAGGAGUCUCGCUGCAGCAUUCUGCACCAGCUGGAGUUUCUGGGUCAGUCUCAAGGGCAGCCCCACGUAGCGCAAGUUACAAUAAUCCAGUCUGGAGGUGACCGUCGCAUGGAUCACAGUGGCUAGGUCAGGGUGAGAGAGGUAAGGAGCCAACUGCUUAGCUUGGCGGAGAUGGAAAAAUGCCGCCUUUGUUGUAGCUGCAAUCUGCGCCUCCAUGGAAAGGGAGGUGUCGAAGAUUACACCCAAACUCUUAACGGACGGUGCUGGCACUAAUUGCGCCCCUGCAAGAGAUGGGAGUUGCCCCCCCAAUCCCAUAUCGUCCCGUCCCAGCCACAGGACCUCUGUCUUCGAAGGAUUGAGCUUCAACCAGCUCCCACGUAACCAUCCAGCCACAGCUUCCAAACAUCUGGUCAGUGUGUCUGGGGCCGAGUCAGGAUGGUCAUCCAUCAACAGAUAGAGUUGGGUGUCAUCAGCAUACUGAUGGCAACCCAGCCCAAAACUCCAGACAAGCUGGGUGAGGGGGCGCAUAAAGAUGUUGAAAAGCAUCGGGGAGAGUAUCACACCCUGAGGUACUCCACACACCAAGGAGUGGCGCGAUGACAAUUGCCCCCCAAGCGCCACCCUCUGUCCCCGACCAGAGAGAAACAAGCACAGCCAUUGAAGGACUGUGCCCUGGAUCCCCACGUCGGCAAGGCGGUGGUCCAGAAGUUCGUGAUCGACCAUGUCGAAAGCUGCUGACAGAUCUAGAAGAAUCAGCAGCCCCGACCCACCUCAAUCCAGCUGUCUAUGAAGAUCAUCUGUUAGGGCAACUAGAGCCGUCUCGGUCCCAUGACCAGCGCGGAAGCUGGACUGGAAUGGAUCCAGAGCCGAUGUUUCAUCCAGAAACCCACCAAGCUGUUCAGCAACUGCUCUCUCAAUCACCUUACCCAGGAACGGAAGAUUCGAAACCAGGCGGUAAUUGGAUAGAUCUAAAGGAUCUUAUGAUGUUUUCUUUAAGAGUGGGCGCACCACUGCCUCCUUCAGUUCCCCUGGGAAUGUCCCCAUGCCAAGGGACAAAUUGAUGAUAUCCCCCAGGAGGGCCCGCACCUCAUCUGGACACGCUCUAAUCAGCCAAGACGGGCACGGGUCGAGAGGACAGGUGGUGGGCUUUCCAGCUCGGAGGAGUCUGUCCACAUUGGCUGGGGAUAUCCGGUUGAAGUGGUCCAAUACUGGACCCGAGGACAGUUGAGGGGCCUCCAGUUCCUUUAUUGUAUCCAAAUUGGCAGGGAGGUCAUGGCGGAGCAACAAGACCUUCUCCGCAAAAAAGCUCGCAAAUGCCUCACAGCUGUGUGUCAAAUUAUUAUUUAAAUUUGGCUGUCCCUCAAGGGACGUUAAAGACCUGAUUAUACUAAAUAAUUGCGCCCGGUGAGAGCUAGCAGAUGCAAUGGAGGCUGAGAAGUAAGACUUCUUAGCAGCCUUCACCGCCAUCUCGUAGGUUUUCAUAAAAGCCCUGUAAGAUGUUCUUGAGGCUCCGUCACGGGCACCCCGCCAUACUCGCUCUAGCCGUCUGAGGUCCCGCUUCAUUUUCCGGAGCUCCUCGGUAAACCAGGGAGCCCGGUUUCUGCGGGGUCGCAGAGGGCGCUUAGGUGCAAUCUCAUCGAUGGCUGCCAGGAGCUGGAUAUUCCAGCCCUCAACAAGCUCAUUCAAUGAGUCGCCAGGGGGAGAAAGGUCCCGCAAGGCUUGGCGGAAUCUAUCAGGGUCCAUCAGCCUCUGUGGGCGAGCCCAAAUCGGCUCGCCACCUAAGCAGGGUGGGGGUGGGAAGUCAAUCCUGGCUUUCAGAGCGUAGUGAUCGGACCAUGGCACCUUCAUCGAAGGAGACAUGAUCACAUCUAUACCUACGCCAAAGAUCAAAUCCAGUGUGUGGCCUGCUUGAUGUGUGGGGCCCGAAACAAACUGGGAGAGCCCUAGUGACGCCAUGGAAGACACCAGGUCCAGAGCCUGUGAGGAGGGAGUGGCAUCAGCAUGGAUGUUGAAGUCCCCCUAUACCAAUAGGUUAGGGAACUCCAAGGCCCAGCCGGCCACCACCUCCAAUAGGCCUGACAGGGUGGCUGCUGGUGCGCUAGGUGGCCGGUACACCAGCCAGACAGCCAAGCUCUCCUCGGAGCCCCACACUAGGCCAACACAUUCAAUGCCGGGGAUCGAUGGCAAUGGUAGAUCCCUGAAAGGACAAUCUUCCCGGAUUAAUAAUGCCACCCCUCCCCCCCCGGCCCACAGUCUGUGACUGGUGGAGGACGGAGAAACUGGUGGAGGACGGAGAAGCAAAUAUCACUAGUGUAGAAGCAAUGAUUCUUCAACAUCCACUUCGUUGGGCUGAUCAUGUUGUUUGGAUGCCUGAUUAUCAUCUUCCAAAGCAACUACUCUAUUCUGAACUUAAAAAUGAAAAGCAUAAUGCUAGUGGUCAACAAAAGAGGUUUAAAGACUCUCUCAAGGCAAAUAAAAAAAAAUGUAGGAUAAACACCAGCAACUGGGAAACACUAGCCUGCAAGUGCUCCAACUGGAGAACAGCCUUUACCAAAGGUGUCAAAGACUUUAAAGACACUUGAACUCAGGACAAAAGGGAGAAACGUGCUAAGAGGAAGGCACAUUUGGCAAACCCUCACCGUAACCAACUCCCGCCUGGAAACCAAUUUUCAGGAGCUGGCCGGCUGCUGGCUUGAGAAAACAGCACACAAGAGGUAAUUAACAGAAGAUUUAUUGUAUACAAGCAAUUAGCCUCCAACCGCUCUCUCCAAGCGACCAUCCAUCACAAUCAAGUUGACCCUUCUGAAGAAUACUUCCGGCUACUGCAGAAUAUCCUGAACCUCCUACCCUUACAUUUCGGAGGUCAUCUUCUGUCUUGGACCUUCCCCCUUCAUCUAGUCCUGGGAAUGAUGGGGUCAGCUACCUCCUCUCCCGGUGAGGAAAUGCUCUCCCUUCCUUGUGCCGUGAGUGUCUGUGAUUCCUCAGAAAGCUGAGGCUAGGCUGGCCUCAACUAGAGCCAGGGCUUUCUCGGUCGUGGCUCUAAUCUGGUGGAACGCUCUGUCACAAGAGACUAGGGCCCUGCGGGACCUGACAUCUUUCCGCAGGGCCUGUAAGACAGAGCUGUUCCACCAGGCCUUUGGUCAGGGCGCAGCCUGACCCCCUCCUCUGGCAAUCUGCACAGAAUUUUGCUUAAUGGUUGCCAUCAAUUUGAUUUUAAUUAAUUUUUAUAAUGAAAGGUUUUUAGAAUGUUGGAUUAUUUUGAUUGUUGUUAGCCGCCCUGAGCCCAGCUUCGGCUGGGGAGGGCGGGGUAUAAAUAAAAUUUAUUAUUAUUAUUAUUAUUAUUAUUCCUCAGCCCACCUUUCCUGAGCCGAUAAGCCACAUUCCUGCCAGCUUCAGAGGGAGGAGAUGGCGUCAGCCCACUAGUUCCAGCUGUCUGAGAAAUUUGCAAGUCUCUCUGUUUUCCUUCUGCCUGCCUGCCUUCCAUCUCAGGCUGUCCUUGGUUUUGGGCUGUCGUGUUCAUAACAGCUAUGUCCCCACUGUGGAAGGACAUGUGCAUCCAGAGCUGGCCUCCACAGUCACUUAUGGACUCACUAUUAAGACUGUGUUCAUAGAAGACAUUCUUACUUGGCUACGAGGGAUUGCCAAAGAAGCUGCUCAGGUAAAUUUUGAUGAUCUUGAGUACAGGACUGGAGGAACAUUUUGCUCUACAGGCAAGCCUUCAUUGUCCUCAUAAGGUCCUGUCUACGGAGGCUCCCCUUUUCCUUAGCAAUGGAUGCUAGCUUGUCUCAGCCAAGGGACAGAAAAGACCAUUGUAGAGGUUCUUGCAUUUGCAUUGCCAAAUGGGGUAGAAAGGAAUGUGCCAUUGAUUUGUGAUAAUGCCUCUUGCUUCUACAGAUUUGAGGAUGGAACGUGUAAAGGAGUGUGUGUGGUUUGUCUCUGAGUUUUCCAUUGCUGGAGUAGAGUCUCAGUGCACAAAGACAAGAGUCACAGCCACAGCCAUAGACAUGCAGCCCCUGGAAAGUUCUCGUGAAGGAAUGUGGCCCUCAGACCAAAGAAGGUUCCCAACUUCGAGAACACCGUUGAUUAGGUGGUAUAAAACAUUAUUAUUAUUAUUAGCAGUAGUAGUACCAUUUACCUACCAGUGUGGUGCUGUGGUCUAAACCACAUGGUCUGCCAAUCAAAAGGUCAGUGGUUUGAAACCCCGUGACAGAGUGAGCUCCCGUUGCUCCAGCCCAGCUCCUGCCAGUUUGAAAGCACGCCAGAGCAAGAAGAUAAAUAGGUUCUGCUGUGGUGGGAAGGUAAACAGCAUUUCCGUGUGCUCUGGUUUCUGUCACUGUGUCCCAUUGUGCCAGAAGCGGUUUAGUCAUGCUGGCCACAUGACCCGGAAAAUUGUCUGUGGACAAACACCAGCUCCCUUGGCCUGAAAAGUGAGAUGAGCGCCGCAACCCCAUAUUCUCCUUUGACUGGACUAAACCGUCCAGGGACCCUUUACCUUUACCUUUUAAUUAAUAAUACAUACAUUGUGAAUAUAGGCAGGAUGAAGGGAGCACAUUUCACAGAAGAUUAAACUACCACGAUGCUAAAAAAUUCGGACUUGCAUCUAUUGCCUGCAGAGACUAGUGUUGAUAGGAUGAAGUGAAAGAAACAUUUACAAUAAGAAAAGAGAAGUUGGAGAAGGGUGUUGUUUUGAUUUUGGUGUUUUGUUUUGGGGUUGUUUUGUUUUGUUUUGUUUUUUUCAAAUUAAGUAAGAUGUCAAGAUCAACAAACCCAAAGCUGCUAGUAUGCUGGUGAGGGGAACAACAUUUCUGCGUGAAAAACAGAGCUGACCACCUUUGGUGAGCAACUUUAAGUAUUUUAAAUCACUUUUAACUAACAUAAAUGCAGCUGACGGCAUAAUGUCAAGCAGACAGAAUCAUAAAAUUGUAGGCAGCACUAUUUAGGAAAGCUUUUAAUGUUUGAUGUAUCACGGUAUUUUAAUAUUUUGUUGGAAGCUGCCCAGAGUGGCUGGGGAAGCCUGGCCAGUUGGGCGGGGUAUAAAUAAAUUAUUAUUAUUAUUAUUAUUAUUAUUAUUAUUAUUGGGUCCCUAAGCUCUGCAGUGCAGGAAUCAUAAUGGAAGAAUCCCUUACCAGUGGCCAUCCAAUGAGAGACUGCCACUUCCUGAGGGAGACCGCUCUACUGUCAAAGUGAAGAACCUGACAUUUGUCCCUACUGACAUUCAUUUACCAUAUUUUUCUGUGUAUUGGACGAGGCUUUUUGGCUCAAAAAUCAUGUCAAAAAACUGGGGUCGUCUAAUACACGGAUAGUGGCAUGGGGGGGUGAGAAGCGGCACACCGUCAGCCAGCUUGUUGGCAGAAGCGUGGCUUCCCCCGAUGCCGCAGCGAGCGGGGAGCGAUCUGGGGGGUGUUUCCUGCCUGCAGUUACGUGGGGGGGGGAGAAGCUGUGCGCCGCCAGCCAGCUCAUUGGUGGGAGCGCAACUGCUCCUGAUGCCGCUGUGUGCAGCAGAGACUCCCUGGAAUGUUUCCCAUGUGUGGCGGCAUGAUAGCGCAAUGGCUGGCAGGAGCGCAAAUUCCCCCGAUGCUGCUGCACACGGGAAAUGAUCUAGGAAGUGUUCCCUGCCCCCAGCUGUGGGGGGGGGGAGAGGCUCAACAACUUUGGGCCACCUCCCCUCAUUUUCCUAAAAUUGAGUCCCCUAAAAUAGGGGGUGUCCUAUACAUGGGUGCGUCCUAUAGACGGAAAAUUAUGGUAGUUAGUUUGGGCCCAAUUCUCCAAUCUAUUGGGGUCAUCGUGAAUCAUGAUUCUGUCUUUUGCAGCAUUAGAUACCCCUCUCUUUGGUGUGAUCUGCAAAUCUGAUGAGCCGGUAACAACAACAUGGACAUUCAAUAAGGCAGAAUGUUGGAAGAUUCAGGACAGAUGGAAGAAAGCACUUCUUCACGCAGUGCACAGUCAAACUGUGGAAUUUGCUCCCCCCGGGGGCAGUGACAGCCACCAACAGGGAUGGCUUUAAAAGAGGACUAGACAAUGUCAUGGAGGAAGAGAGGGCUAUUGUUGGACGCUAGUCGUGGUGGCUCUGCUGUGCCUCCGCAGCUGGAGGCAGCAAUGCUUCUGAAUACCACAUAUCCGGAACAUCACACACCUUCCACAUACCUGAGAGGAAAAUAGGGACAUUCUAUUCUACAUCCGUAUCACUGCUUGAGUAUUUCCUCCUGGUUCAGUACAAAAGAUAUUAGAGGAAACACAAAACUGCAGUAUUUGAAGCACAGAAAUCAUUGAAAUUAUGUAUUGGAUUUGGGGAAGCCCGGGGGGCGGGGAGAAAACCCCAAAUCAAUAAAUACAACCAACUGUGUGUGUGGAGACUAUGUGAUGUCAUCAUGCAUUUAUGAAUAUUUUAGAAGCAUGAUAACUUUGAACAAUCAUUAUUGUUGCAAAUGUACAGGUGUAUGAUAUGGGCUAUGGACAUAUAAACUUGUGAGUUUGGGAAUACAUAAAUUUCCCUUUUUUAGUGUUUCAAGCUUCUGAGCAAAUUAGGAAUGUGUAAGCAACAGCAGUGUCCUUGUGUUGGGGAAAAUCCUGGAUGGAUCAGCUGCAGAGACCACAUCCCAGGCAUCCCCUCCCCAGCUGCCCUGGGACUCACCUUCACCCAAAUGCACAAAAUGGAGAGACUCACAUCAGAUUUCAGAAGGCACAGCCAAUUCAAUGCCCUUUCCCUAACAGCGUUUCCGUGCUCUGCUCUGGUUCACCAUGCUGGCCACAUGACCCGGAAGCUGUCUGCAGACAAACGCCGGCUCCCUCGGCCUAUAGAGCGAGAUGAGCCGCAACCCCAGAGUCGUCCACGACUGGACCUAACGGUCAGGGGUCCCUUUACCUUUACCUUUCCCCAUCCACAUGAGAAGCCAGGCAGGAAAGCGCUUUGGAGGGAGGCAUUUUUGUCUCGGGGAACCCCUCCCCAUCUCCCCAAAUCCCCUUCCUGUCUAGGAAUCUAGUCCAGUUCAUUUUAAGCCAGAGAGAGAGAGCCAAGCUGCAGGAUCAGAUCUCUCUGCCUCUCUUUCAAAGCAGGCGCCAAAGAGGAAAUGCCCACAACCCCCAGGGGGGCAGCGCAGUGACUCAGUGAUACUUCAGACUCCCAAACUAGCAAGGAAAGGCAAAGCAGCAAUGCGAAGAAACUGGGCAGAGACCUAAGAGGUUUGGAUGCUGAACAGACCAUUGUGUGCCGUGUUGCUGAGAAGCCCCUGAGAGCAUGCAAAUGAGAAGCUGAAGCAGGCUGUGCUUCUCUCUUUCCCUGAAAAGGUGGAGAAAGAUUUGAGUUUUUUUGAGGGGGCAGAGAAAGGCUUGCAUUUGGGAAUUCAGGACUCUGUGUGACAAUCAGCAGCCAUGAUGGCUUAUGGGUUUUCAUGACAGUCCCAGCUGGAGACGAUGAUGCUAGCUGUUAGAAACUACAAGAGGGAAGAGCUCUUGGGCUUGGGUCCUGCUUGCCAGUUUCCCACAGGUUGGCCACUGUGACAACAGGAUGCUGGCUUAGAUGGGCCAUUGGCCUGAUCCAGCAGGGCUCUUAUGCUCUCAUGUUUAGGCAAAAGAACACACUUUUUGUCUUCAAUCAGCACAUGGCAGGUUACUGCACAGCAAAUGGAUGCAGCACACAGUCAGCUUGAGUGGAGGCCUCAGCUGAUGUGCAUUAGUUGCUGGGGGAGGGAAUCAGGCAACCGUCUUUUGUUAGGGGGGAAAACAGCUCCAUCUGUGAACUGGCUGGGAAUCGUGCGGCAGGAUUAUUUUCAGGGACCCAGCAGUGUGGGGAUUUUUCUUUUCAUGCCAGCAGUUCUUAAUAUCUGAGAGUUGUUGUUGCGUGGCAAAAUCCAUGGAGAUAUUCUUGCAUUACGCUCUGCUAAUUGUGACCAAGCCAGGCUGCAAAUAUCAGUUGUUGCUAUAGUAAUGUAUUGUGUCCUGAAACCUUGCAGAAUAAAACUUCUGUUACUCAAGGACGCACAUGCUCCCUCUAAAAAGGAAGGUGUGUGGCUCUCUGUAUGCAUGGAAGAGGAAUGAAAAGAGGGUAAAAACACACUGAAGGCAGCAAUCAAUAGAAAAGAAGUUCUUUGUUUAUCAAAUGGAAUUUGUUUUAUUGCACAUAGCAGCUCAUCGGUGACCAUAAUAAAUAUUUAGUGAUUUCUUAUCAAGGGGACAAAUGGUUCAAUUAAAAAGAAAGUUUGGGAUAACUAUUUUUAAAAACCCACCUAAGUUAAGAGGACCCUGAUUUUAAGCUAAUAAAUAACCAUAACCUAAGGACAAAUUUGCAUUAGCUAUGUCCACACAAUGUUUAAAAAUGAGGCCACAUUGGUUUGGGUCACACCCUCUGGAGCAACAAAAAAUAAGCUUGCUUGCGACCUUCAGAUAUAAGAAGAUGGCCAUCCUAUCACUUCUCAGUCUUCUUUUCUCCAGGCUAAACAUAGCCAACUUCCUCAACUGUUGCACAUAAAGUUUGGUUUCCAGACCCUGGAAAGGAGGGAGGGAAGACAAGAAGCAGUAGAGGGAGGUUGACAUCUUUACUAAGAAGCUGGUACAGUGGUACUUCGGGUUAAGUACUUAAUUCGUUCCGGAGGUCCGUACUUAACCUGAAACUGUUCUUAACCUGAAGCACCACUUUAGCUAAUGGGGCCUGCUGCUGCUGCUGUGCUGCCGGAGCAGGAUUUCUGUUCUCAUCCUGAAGCAAAGUUCUUAACCUGAAGCACUAUUUCUGGGUUAGCGGAGUCUGUAACCUGAAGCGUAUGUAACCCAAGGUACCACUGUAUUUAAAAAUAUUCACCCCAUUUAUGUCUUGCAUAUUUAUUUAUUUAUUAUUAUUAUUAUUCUGACUCCCUCCUUUGGCAAUCUUCACAGAACUCUAGCCCAAUGGUUGCCAUCAAUUUGAUUUGAAUUAAUUUUAUAAUGAAAUGAUUUUAGAAUGUUGUAUUAUUUUAUUGUUGUUAGCCGCCCUGAGCCCGGCUCCAGCUGGGGAGGGCUGGAUAUAAAUAAGAAUUAUUAUUAUUAUUAUUAUUAUUAUUACUACUACUACUACUAUUAUUAUUAUAUUGUGUCUCUAAAAACUAGGCUUUUCUAAGAGCUACUAAACACUCUCUCUCUCUCUCUCUCUCUCUCUCUCUCUCUCUCUCUCGCACACACACACACUCACACACACACACACACAGAGAGGGCACAUCAGUGUAAAAGCCUGUUUUGCCCUCUGUUUGUGGAUCAGAAAUUGUUUCAGGGUGAUUGUACAAAGACACAUCUUCAUUUUAUUCAUCCUCAAAGGUAAAGGCAAACUGAAAGAUAGCCAGUCUCCUGCCUGACAAUGAAUGUAGGCCCUUAUGGGUGGGAGAGAGAAAGGGUGGGUGGGGGGGAGAGAAACAGAAAUUGCAUGGAUGCAUGGGGAAAUAUUCAGACUAUUGUCUGUGGGCAAACGGGAUCCUUAAAUCUGAAUGAGAGACAGACGCAAAGAGAGACAAUGCUGCAAAACCCACCAUGGUCAAUCUUAAUCCACGGUACAUUAAGUGGAGACCUGGAAAAUGGAAAUGUUAAUCUUUACUCAGUUUAAGUGAGACUUCUAUCCCAGAUAAGCAGACCAUCAGAAUUUCCCUGAGAGUCACUGUAAACGGGGAUAAGGACCUGGUCUCCACCCCUCCCACAGCAGGAGAUGAUCUGUAGCUGAAGGCGGAUUUCACUAGGAAUUUCCUUUCAGACUCCUGUUCCUGUGAAAUCAGUCUACACUUUUCUUAAUUCUGUGGAUCGAAUUCCAACCCUCCUCAUCCUGCUGCCCUCCAGAUGGUGUUGGACCACAACUCCCACCAGCCCCAGCCAGCAUGGCCAACGGAAGGGUGGGAGUUGCACUGCUAAACCUCUGGAGGAAUCACCUCAGGAAAGGCUGGCCUACUCAGUCCGUGCCAUAUUGAAAGAACAAAUCUUGCCUCUGGUUGGUGUCAAGGGAGGCGUUUCCUUUGAUGUGUCCCUCACAUAACUGAGAGAACAAUUUUUCCAAUGUUAAAUUCAGUUGUCUACAUUUUCACAUCAGUUUGUGUACUUUUGUUUAAAAGAAACAUUUUUAUGGAAAUUCAUCAGCAUUUGGAUUCAAAUCCCCCCCCUUCUUAUAUUAUAUGCAAGGCAAUUUCCCUCAAUAGAAUGCAUUUUUAUGCACAUUUUGCCCAAGCAUUCCCCCCAUACAUUACUUGGCUGGAGAACCGCAUUGCAAAAUUUGGAGCACUGUGCAUUUUGAAGGAUGGUAGUGUUUUCAGAAAGUGAACGUCAGAACAUAAUAAGAACUAUUCUCACUGUGGCCAAGCAGAUGUCUGUGGGAAACCUUGAAGCAGGACCCAGAGCAGCCUUCUCCCCACGGGGGUUUCCACAAACUGGUAUUCAGAAGCAUUGCUGCCUCCAGCCAGAGAAGGCGGAGCAACGGCAUCAUAGCUUGUACCCGUUGCUUUAACUUCAGGUGCAAACAGAAUUGAAUUUCUCCUUCUCCUUUUGUACCAAAAUGAUACCACUGACAAAAUGAUUAAAAUGGUGACCAGGUGAGAGGAACUCCCAGUAUUCUUGCUGCUGCCUUCAUUUCCUGUCUGUCUGCCCCUCCACUGCAACUAUAAUAUGUAGGGUUUUUAAAUUUUAUUUUAUUCUGACUUGCAGCACAUUUUCCAAAGCUGACUGUGAGCAAUAACUAUCCAUCAGAUUUUGCACCUCUUUAAAUGUUGCCGUACAGAUCUUUGCUCAACAAGCUCAUCGGAAUGUGUAGUGUUUUUGAAACAAGAUACAUUUAGAAUGACACAUUUUAAUAGAGAGGAACAUACAAAAAUGCAUAUUUAAAUGAGAAUUAGUUAUGGAUUGAUUUUAUUUCCUUUUGGGGCAGGUUAGAGUAGAGCAGAUAUAUGAGUCAAGACUUGUGCAAAAGUAAGACAAACUGGAAAUUGCCUGAUCUAAGGCUGGAUCUACACUGACCUUUUUAACAUUAUUAGAUAUAUCAUUCUAAAAUGUCACAGGGCAUACUGGUAAAAUAAAAACGUUCCUUACAUUGUUUCCUCUGUAACAAGGCAGUUUCCCUUACUGCUGGUUUCUGGUUGCUCUGCAGUGCCCUCUGGCGUCACAUUUUAAUAACACAUUAUUAGUGUUACUGUUAUGUACUGAGGUUCUCACCCUGGGCCAGCAGGGGGAUACUGUAGAUAGUUAUGCAAAUAAGGGAUCGAAAGUGACAUUCAGUGAUUGGAUAGUUUUAGAAAAGUUGUUACAAUUAUGUGUACUGGAGCUCUAUAUAAGCAGGCUGACUGAACCCUUCAGUUCAGUUCUGUUCUGGCCUCUGAAUAAACAAGAGCUGUUUGAAGAAUUACUGCGUCGUCCCCACAACUUGUUCACCUACAACUUAACAGUUACAAAGUGUAAUGUGUCCAAAUUCAUUCUGAUAUCCAUUCCUUAACCCUUCCUGAAUGUUAUAAAAGCCAUGUGUGUGUCAUGAGACAAAGGUUCUGGAGAGGAGAAGCAGAGCAGAAGAAGUAAGGCAAGGCCUCCACAGUUAUUCAAGCCUAAGCCUGCUAACUGCUAACAGCAAACUGCUCAGUGACUGGGCCUGGAGACUUCUGGACCACAACUCCCAUCAUCCCUGCUCAUUGACUAGGCUGGUUGGGGUGGAUAGGAAGUGUUGCUCAGCAUCAGAAAGGAGGAGGAGUGGCGUUAUAUGUCAGGGAUGUGUAUACCUGUGAAGAGAUCCAAGAUUUAGAACCUCAAAGCCAAAGUGAGAGCAUUUGGGACAAAAUUAAGGGAGAGAAGAAUAACAGUGACCUCAUUGUGGGAGUUUACUAUAGAUCCCCAAGCCAAACGGAGGACAUAGAUGAUGCCUUCCUGGAACAGAUGGCCAAGCAUGCAAAAGGAAGGGAGAUAGUAGUAAUGGGGGACUUCAAUUACCCGGAUAUUUGUUGGAUGUCAAACUCAGCCAAGAGCAUAAGGUCAAACAGAUUCCUCACUGGCCCUGCAGACAACUUCAUUGUCCAGAAAGUGGGAGAAGCAACAAGAGGAACAGCCAUUUUAGAUCUGGUCCUAACCAAUGUUGAUGACCUGGUUAGUGGGGUAGAAGUGGAAGGAUCAUUAGGCGCGAGUGAUCAUGCUCUUCUGAAGUUUACUAUACAGCGGAAAGGAGCAGCCAAGCAUAAGCACAACUUCAGGCAAUACCAAUGAGACGGAAACAUGGAAGGUGCCUAAAGAAGCCAGGAUGGCUAUCUAAAGAACUUUUAACUUAGUUAAGAUUUAAAAAGGAUGUGUACAAAAAAUGGAAAAGGGGGGAAACCACCAAAGAGGAAUUCAAACAAAUAGCCAGCACGUGUAGACACAAAGUCAGAAAAGCUAAAGCACAGAAUGAACUCAGGCUUGCUAGAGAGGUUAAAAGCAACAAAAAGGCUUUUAUGGGUAUGUUCGUAGCAAAAGGAAGAACAAAGAAACAGUGGGGUCACUCAGAGGAGAAGAUGGUGAAAUGCAAACAGGGGACACAGAAAGGGCUGAACUCCUCAAUGCCUUCUUUGCCUCAGUCUUCUCCGAUAAAGAAAACAAUGCCCGACCUGAAGAAUUUGGAGCAAAUGAUUCAGCAGAGGAAACACAGCCCUGAAUAACUAAGGAGAUAAUACAAGAAUACUUGGCUAGUUUAGAUGUAUUCAAGUCUCCAGGGCCAGAUGAACUGCAUCCAAGAGUAUUAAAAGAACCGGCAGAUGUGAUCUCAGAACCACUGGCAGUCAUCUUUGAGAAUUCCUGGAGAACAGGCGAAGUCCUGGCAGACUGGAGGAGGGCAAAUGUUGUCCCUAUUUUCAAAAAGGGGGAAAGAGAGGACCCAAAUAAUUACCACCCAGUCAGUCUGACAUCAAUACCAGGGAAGAUUCUGGAGCAGAUCAUUAAGCAAACAGUCUGUGAGCACCUAGAAAGGAAUGCUGUGAUCACCAAUAGUCAGCAUGGAUUUCUGAAAAAUAAGUCAUGUCAGACUAACCUGAUCUCGUUUUUUGACAGAAUUACAAGCCUGGUAGAUGAAGGGAACGCAGUGGAUGUAGCCUACCUUGAUUUCAGCAAGGCAUUUGACAAGGUGCCCCAUGAUAUUCUUGUAAAGAAGCUGGUAAAAUGCGGUCUUGACUAUGCUACCACUCAGUGGAUUUGUAACUGGCUGACUGACCGAACCCAAAGGGUGCUCAUCAAUGGUUCCUCUUCAUCCUGGAGAAGAGUGACUAGUGGGGUGCCACAGGGUUCUGUCUUGGGCCCGGUCUUAUUCAACAUCUUUAUCAACGACUUGGAUGAUGGACUCAAGGGCAUCCUGAUCAAAUUUGCAGAUGACACCAAACUGGGAGGGGUGGCUAACACCCCAGAGGACAGGAUCACACUUCAAAACGACCUUGACAGAUUAGAGAACUGGGCCAAAACAAACAAGAUGAAUUUUAACAGGGAAAAAUGUAAAGUAUUGCACUUGGGCAAAAAAAAAUGAGAGGCACAAAUACAAGAUCAUAGAAUCAUAGAAUCAUAGAGUUGGAAGAGACCACAAGGGCCAUCGAGUCCCACCCCCUGCCAAGCAGGAAACACCAUCAGAGCACUUCCACUUCUACCCCACUAACCAGGUCAUCAACAUUGGUUAGGACCAGAUCUAAAAUGGCUGUUCCUCUUGUUGCUUCUCCCACUUUCUGGACAAUGAAGUUGUCUGCAAGGCCAGUGAGGAAUCUGUUUGACCUUAUGCUCUUGGCUGAGUUUGACAUCCAACAAAUAUCCGGGUAAUUGAAGUCCCCCAUUACUACUAUCUCCCUUCCUUUUGCAUGCUUGGCCAUCUGUUCCAGGAAGGCAUCAUCUAUGUCCUCCGUUUGGCUUGGGGAUCUAUAGUAAACUCCCACAAUGAGGUCACUGUUAUUCUUCUCUCCCUUAAUUUUGACCCAAAUGCUCUCACUUUGGCUUUGAGGUUCUAAAUCUUGGAUCUCUUCACAGGUAUACACAUCCCUGACAUAUAACGCCACUCCUCCUCCUUUCUUGUCUGGUCUAUUUCUCUGAAAUAGAUUGUAUCCCCCCAUUAUUACAUUCCAGUCGUGGGACUUAUCCCACCAGGUUUCAGUGAUGCAUAUUAUGUCAUAUUUAGUUUGCUGUACCAAGAGCUCAAGCUCAUCUUGUUUAUUUCCCAUGCUUUGUGCAUUAGUGUACAGACAUUAAUCCUUCCCCCGUGUCUCUUAUUUAAGGAUUUUUUCCUCCCACCACUAGGUCUGCGUGCUGUUUGCUCCAUUUGGUCUAUGACAUUUGGAAGAUCAUCUUCAUCAAUUGAUAGACUCCUACCUUCAGGAGCACUGUCUCCCUCCCCCACAUUAGGCAGUUUAAAGCCCUCCUGAUGAGGUUUCUGAGAUUUUUGGCAAAAACAUUUCUCCCAACCGUUGUGAGGUGCAGCCCAUCGCUUGCCAGAAGUCCAUCUUCAAGAAACUGCAGUCCGUGAUCUAAGAAUCCAAACCGUUCCUGUUUACACCAUUUGUGAAGCCAGCUGUUCACUUCCACUAUUUUUCCCUCUCUCCCUGGGCCACGUCGUUCAACUGGGAGGACAGAUGAGAUGACAAUUUGUGCAUUUAAUUGCUUCAAUUUCCU